This 23-nucleotide non-coding RNA is filed under the name Arabidopsis thaliana (thale cress). The record is from RNAcentral. Lineage: Eukaryota; Viridiplantae; Streptophyta; Magnoliopsida; Brassicales; Brassicaceae.
UCCACGAUGACGAUAACAGCGAG